CCUACGGGAGGCAGCAAUAGGGAAUCUUUCACAAUGGGCGAAAGCCUGAUGGAGCAACGCCGCGUGCAGGAUGAAGGCCUUCGGGUUGUAAACUGCUUUUAUAAGCGAGAAAUAUGAUGGUAACUUAUGAAUAAGGAUCGGCUAACUACGUGCCAGCAGCCGCGGUCAUACGUAGGAUCCGAGCAUUAUCCGGAGUGACUGGGUGUAAAGAGUUGCGUAGGUGGCAUAAUAAGUAGCUAGUGAAAUCUGGUGGCUCAACCAUUCAGACUAUUAGCUAAACUGUUAAGCUCGAGACCGUUAGGGGUAACUGGAAUUUCUAGUGUAGGAGUGAAAUCCGUAGAUAUUAGAAGGAACACCAAUAGCGUAGGCAGGUUGCUGGGACGGUUCUGACACUAAGGCACGAAAGCGUAGGGAGCAAACGGGAUUAGAUACCCGUGUAGUC
Molecule: ribosomal RNA, 442 nt
Filed under: uncultured bacterium
Lineage: Bacteria
Description: partial 16S ribosomal RNA
Rfam family: Bacterial small subunit ribosomal RNA
Source: RNAcentral